This is a long non-coding RNA of Oncorhynchus keta (chum salmon), 652 nucleotides long. RefSeq lists it as uncharacterized. The transcript has 3 exons. The record is from RefSeq and is a predicted model, not a curated record. Lineage: Eukaryota; Metazoa; Chordata; Actinopteri; Salmoniformes; Salmonidae.
UUCUAAAAUGUGAGAUUUGGGUUUUCAUAAGGUAGGGCUCUGCUCAAUCAGUGGCCGCCCCUGUGAAGGGACAUGGGCUAUAAAACUUUUCAAACACGCCCUCCUCUCCCUUCCUAUAUAAAGCCUUGACGACAAUAUAACCUCCUGUUCCGAGGAUGAAGGUCCAAUGUCAGAAUGGUUCAGAUAAUAACUACAGAACAAAGCCAACAUCAGCGUGAGCUUUGGUUGCGAAUGGUAUGAACUUUGACUCUUAUUCACUACAGAAGUGAUACCUCCUAGCCGUUGAGUUAGCAACAGCAGAUGCAAACGCAGGUUAGGAAGGAACAGACAGAGUCUGUCUACCACACAACGACGUUACAACAACGUAUUCAAUUUACCAGCAGAGACAUUCUUCAAAGGACUCGGUUGGGCAACACGGUCUUCCAUCUACCACCAACCUACCGAAGCGCAGCUCAGACUGCCAUAUCUGUUCCACCCGCUCGGGAUGUUUUCCUUUAUGACGCAAUUUGUAAUCAAGGACCUCCAACAGCCAAAGCUAAGUAGUAACAUUAACAUGAUGCCUUCUAAUUGCAGUCGCUGUACUCAUAAUAUACAGGAGAACGAUCGCCUUACGGCGAGGAUAGCUGUGCUUCAAGCCCAGCUUCAGAUGCAA